GUGGAGGAGCACGCGAACCGAAUCUGUAGUAGGCAAGCAAUGGGGUGACGCAGGAAGGUAGCUCAACCCGGGCGAUGGUUGUCCCGGGGUAAGGAUGUAGGGCGAGACGUAGGCAAAUCCGCGUCUCACAUGCCUGAGAUCUGACGCCGAGCCGAUUAAGGCGAAGUGAGUGAUCCUAUGCUGCCGAGAAAAGCCUCUAGCGAGUUGUACAGCCGCCCGUACCCCAAACCGACACAGGUGGUCAGGUAGAGAAUACCAAGGCGAUCGAGAGAACUGUGGUUAAGGAACUCGGCAAAAUACCCCGUAACUUCGGGAGAAGGGGGCCGAUGAUGUGACGGGACUUGCUCCCUGAGCACCGGUUGGCCGCAGAGACCAGCCCAAGCGACUGUUUACUAAAAACAUAGGUCCAUGCGAAGUCGCAAGACAUGUAUAUGGACUGACGCCUGCCCGGUGCUGGAAC
Molecule: ribosomal RNA, 460 nt
Filed under: uncultured bacterium
Lineage: Bacteria
Description: bacterial LSU rRNA
Rfam family: Bacterial large subunit ribosomal RNA
Source: RNAcentral